UACGUAGGGUGCAAGCGUUAAUCGGAAUUACUGGGCGUAAAGCGUGCGCAGGCGGCUUUGCAAGACAGAUGUGAAAUCCCCGGGCUUAACCUGGGAACUGCAUCUGUGACUGCAUGGCUGGAGUGCGGCAGAGGGGGAUGGAAUUCCGCGUGUAGCAGUGAAAUGCGUAGAUAUGCGGAGGAACACUGAUGGCGAAGGCAAUCCCCUGGGCCUGCACUGACGCUCAUGCACGAAAGCGUGGGGAGCAAACAGG
Molecule: ribosomal RNA, 253 nt
Filed under: uncultured bacterium
Lineage: Bacteria
Description: partial 16S ribosomal RNA
Rfam family: Bacterial small subunit ribosomal RNA
Source: RNAcentral